Molecule: long non-coding RNA, 797 nt
Organism: Alligator sinensis (Chinese alligator)
Lineage: Eukaryota; Metazoa; Chordata; Crocodylia; Alligatoridae
Exons: 3
Source: RefSeq, a predicted model, not a curated record
GACACAGUUCAUGUAGCUUUGCUUUUCAAAUAUUUUUUCAUCUAUUAAAGUGGUUUAAGAGCAAAUCAUGGCAGGCCCCUAGGAUUGCCCUGGAGGAUGUCAUGUUGCCUAUAUUGUAUUACUUUGUUUUACAGGUGUCCCAAUUGAAGCCCUUUGUGCAUCCAGCUGCAAUCUUGUACUCAAUCCUGUUAACAUCCCUGUUAUCCGGUUCAGAUCAAGUCAUGGAUAAGGACUGUUUGGCUGAGCAUCCCUGGGAAAGAAAAGAGGUGAUGUUCAUGGACAUGAAGAAGCAGUGGAAAAUACUGUGAAGAUUUAUUUGCUCUUGGAGUGAGGAGGAGGCUCAACUUCAGCAGACUAACACGUUCAAAUGUAGAGCAGAACAGAGAGAGAGAAACUUGGGUUAAGGCAUAAGACCUUCACAACUAAACUUCAGCGAAAACAGCACUAGCUCCAGUUACCUGAAAUAUGACUUAAAAAGCUGUUCAGAUUCCUGAGGAGACUGAGACUUCUGGACUGAAAGAGGUGACCCAGAAGGACUGUACACACUUCAGAAGAACAUGGAAAACACCAUGCAACUUCCCUUUACACUGAGAACAACACCUCAUGGUCUCAGUCCCAUGAAGAUAUAUGACCUGAGCUGCCAUCAGGAAGUCCUGUCACUUACUGUCCUCUCCCCAGACUUACUGAGGAUUCUACAUUGGAUUGGUGCUGCAAGCAGCAGAUAGUGGUGAUUGGUGACCAAGACCCCCAUGCUGCAUGGUGCUCCACAUAGACAGGCUCCUGAACCUGCUUGGAAU